GACGAACGCUGGCGGCGUGCCUAAUACAUGCAAGUCGAGCGGAACUGGGUGAGCUUGCUCCUUCCAGUUUAGCGGCGGACGGGUGAGUAACACGUGGGCAACCUGCUCUGCAGAUCGGGAUAACUCCGGGAAACCGGUGCUAAUACCGAAUAGUUUGGCGCCUCUCCUGAGGCGCUACGGAAAGACGGUUUCGGCUGUCACUGCAGGAUGGGCCCGCGGCGCCUUAGCUAGUUGGUGGGGUAACGGCCCACCAAGGCGACGAAGCGUAGCCGACCUGAGAGGGUGACCGGCCACACUGGGACUGAGACACGGCCCAGACUCCUACGGCAGGCAGCAGUAGGGAAUCUUCCGCAAUGGACGCAAGUCUGACGGAGCAACGCCGCGUGAGUGACGAAGGUUUUCGGAUCGUAAAACUCUGUUGUGAGGGAAGAACACGUACCAACUAACUAUUGGUACCUUGACGGUACCUCGCCAGAAAGCCACGGCUAACUACGUGCCAGCCGCCGCAGUAA
Molecule: ribosomal RNA, 512 nt
Filed under: uncultured bacterium
Lineage: Bacteria
Description: partial 16S ribosomal RNA
Rfam family: Bacterial small subunit ribosomal RNA
Source: RNAcentral